RNAcentral lists this ribosomal RNA (375 nucleotides) under uncultured organism. Its description in RNAcentral is "partial 16S ribosomal RNA". It matches the Rfam family "Bacterial small subunit ribosomal RNA", at positions 527 to 896 of the family's 1533-position model. The record is from RNAcentral.
GUAGGUGGCAAGCGUUGUCCGGGAAUUAUUGGGGCGUAAAGCGCGCGCAGGCGGUUCUUUAAGUCUGAUGUGAAAGCCCACGGGCUCAACCGUGGAGGGUCAUUGGAAACUGGAGAACUUGAGUACAGAAGAGGAAAGCGGAAUUCCACGUGUAGCGGUGAAAUGCGUAGAGAUGUGGAGGAACACCAGUGGCGAAGGCGGCUUUCUGGUCUGUAACUGACGCUGAGGCGCGAAAGCGUGGGGAGCAAACAGGAUUAGAUACCCUGGUAGUCCACGCCGUGAACGAUGAGUGCUAAGUGUUAGGGGGUUUCCGCCCCUUAGUGCUGCAGCUAACGCAUUAAGCACUCCGCCUGGGGAGUACGGCCGCAAAGGCUG